UCUCCCUACGGGAGGCAGCAGUGGGGAAUAUUGCACAAUGGGGGAAACCCUGAUGCAGCAACGCCGCGUGAGUGAAGACGUAUUUCGGUAUGUAAAGCUCUAUCAGCAGGGAAGAAAAUGACGGUACCUGAGUAAGAAGCCCCGGCUAACUACGUGCCAGCAGCCGCGGUAAUACGUAGGGGGCAAGCGUUAUCCGGAUUUACUGGGUGUAAAGGGAGCUUAGUCGGCGAUGCAGGUCUGAAGUGAAAGCCCG
Molecule: ribosomal RNA, 253 nt
Filed under: uncultured bacterium
Lineage: Bacteria
Description: partial 16S ribosomal RNA
Rfam family: Bacterial small subunit ribosomal RNA
Source: RNAcentral